This 464-nucleotide unclassified non-coding RNA is filed under the name Hevea brasiliensis (rubber tree). Lineage: Eukaryota; Viridiplantae; Streptophyta; Magnoliopsida; Malpighiales; Euphorbiaceae. The record is from RNAcentral.
CAGAACCCUAGUUUUCGAAACAGCUGAGAUGGAGACCGGAUCCAAGGCCAAGAAGGGCGCUGGCGGACGCAAGGGCGGUCCAAAGGCUAAAUCGGUGAGUCGUUCUGUAAAGGCCGGACUUCAGUUUCCUGUUGGCAGGAUUGGGCGGUACCUCAAGAAGGGUCGCUAUGCUCAGCGUGUUGGUUCAGGAGCUCCUGUCUACCUUGCUGCCGUCCUUGAGUAUCUUGCUGCUGAGGUUCUUGAAUUGGCGGGCAAUGCGGCCAGGGACAAUAAGAAAAAUCGAAUUGUGCCUCGACAUGUGUGUUUGGCGGUGAGAAAUGACGAGGAGCUUGGGAGGUUGUUGGGUGGUGUUACCAUUGCCCAUGGCGGAGUCCUCCCCAACAUUAACCCAGUCUUGCUGCCAAAGAAGACCGGAAAGGAGGGUACAGAGCCCAAGUCACCAAAGAAAGCUACCAAGUCCCCCA